CACAAGCGGUGGAGUAUGUGGUUUAAUUCGAUGCAACGCGAAGAACCUUACCUGGUCUUGACAUCCCGGAGACCCUUAGGAAACUAGGGGGUGCUUCCAUCUGGAAGAAUCUGGAGACAGGUGCUGCAUGGCUGUCGUCAGCUCGUGUCGUGAGAUGUUGGGUUAAGUCCCGCAACGAGCGCAACCCUUGCCUUUAGUUGCCAGCAGUUCGGCUGGGCACUCUAAAGGGACUGCCGGUGUUAAACCGGAGGAAGGUGGGGAUGACGUCAAGUCCUCAUGGCCUUUAUGACCAGGGCUACACACGUACUACAAUGGCCGAUACAAAGGGCAGCGACACUGCGAGGUGAAGCCAAUCCCGUAAAAUCGGUCUCAGUCCGGAUUGGAGUCUGCAACUCGACUCCAUGAAGUUGGAAUCGCUAGUAAUCGUGAAUCAGAAUGUCACGGUGAAUACGUUCCCGGGCCUU
Molecule: ribosomal RNA, 464 nt
Filed under: uncultured Desulfobulbus sp.
Lineage: Bacteria; Pseudomonadati; Thermodesulfobacteriota; Desulfobulbia; Desulfobulbales; Desulfobulbaceae
Description: bacterial SSU rRNA
Rfam family: Bacterial small subunit ribosomal RNA
Source: RNAcentral